CGGCGGACGGGUGAGUAACACGUGGAUAACCUACCUAUAAGACUGGGAUAACUUCGGGAAACCGGAGCUAAUACCGGAUAAUAUAUUGAACCGCAUGGUUCAAUGGUGAAAGACGGUUUUGCUGUCACUUAUGGAUGGAUCCGCGCCGCAUUAGCUAGUUGGUAAGGUAACGGCUUACCAAGGCAACGAUGCGUAGCCGACCUGAGAGGGUGAUCGGCCACACUGGAACUGAGACACGGUCCAGACUCCUACGGGAGGCAGCAGUU
This 266-nucleotide ribosomal RNA is filed under the name uncultured Staphylococcus sp. Its description in RNAcentral is "partial 16S ribosomal RNA". It matches the Rfam family "Bacterial small subunit ribosomal RNA", at positions 96 to 355 of the family's 1533-position model. The record is from RNAcentral. Lineage: Bacteria; Bacillati; Bacillota; Bacilli; Caryophanales; Staphylococcaceae.